This 461-nucleotide ribosomal RNA is filed under the name uncultured bacterium. RNAcentral describes it as "bacterial SSU rRNA". It matches the Rfam family "Bacterial small subunit ribosomal RNA", at positions 33 to 507 of the family's 1533-position model. The record is from RNAcentral.
AGACACGCUGGCGGCGUGCCUAACACAUGCAAGUCGAACGAGGUCCAUCCUUCGGGAGAAGACCUAGUGGCGAACGGGUGAGUAACACGUGAAGAACCUGCCCCGAAGACCGGGAUAACCCUCCGAAAGGAGAGCUAAUACCGGAUACCCCCACCGAACCGCAUGGUUUGGUGAGGAAAUGGAUUCCGCUUCGGGAGGGCUUCGCGGCCUAUCAGCUAGUUGGUGGGGUAACGGCCCACCAAGGGCAUCGACGGGUAGCUGGUCUGAGAGGACGAUCAGCCACACUGGGACUGAGACACGGCCCAGACUCCUACGGGAGGCAGCAGUGGGGAAUCUUGCGCAAUGGGCGAAAGCCUGACGCAGCAACGCCGCGUGGGGAUGAAGGCUCUCGGGUUGUAAACCCCUUUCAGCAGGGACGAAUCAAGACGGUACCUGCAGAAGAAGCCCCGGCUAACUACGUG